CUAUCAUCUAUCUAUAUCUAUAUAUACCAAAGGCUUUUUGAUGGUGAGAAUCCUGAUGAUGCUGCAUCGGCAAUAAAUGACUAGCAAAUCAAUAGAAAUGGUCGGUCACAGAAGUGUUUCCUUCUUCAAUUAUUUCAUCAAGAUUCGGGAGGGUUAAAUUCACUGCUUUGCAGUUCUUUGUUGGAUUCUGUCAGGUGGGAUUUUUGGUAUUCUCUAGGACUAAAAUACUGUUUUAUUUUUUCUUUAUUUUGCUUUGUUUUCUGUCAGCUCUAUCAAGAACCGACACAACUGACUACACUCUGCUGAUGACAUACGGAUUGAGUACUGCAUAGAUCUGUGAUUAUUCAUCUGUGCCGAUCCAAAAAGGUCUCUAUAAUAGAGAUGGGGUGUAAAUAUAAUCAGGGGAAAAGAACUUGGGAAAGAGAAAAAUUACCAUAAAGGGGUAAUUGUUGUAUUCAUUUUUGCUUAUUUUUUUUAACAUUUAGCAUUUAAUACCUUGUUUUUCACUGUUUUCAGCAAAUAAUGGAUAUGCAAAUUGAAUGGUCAGCUUCAGACAAGAAUUUGAAGCGACAGCAGUCAAGAAAAAGAGGUAAGAAAAGAUUGUUUAUAAGUGUUCUAUUUGCUCAUAGAAUAUAAUCAAUGUAUUAAUUAACUCAAUACUAUAUAGAUGUUUGGUUUUGUGUUUCUGUCUUUUUAUAGAGGAAAUAUAAAAUAAAAUUGAUUAUUUUAUGGAGAUUCUCAAUUAUAAGUGGAUUUUUUCUGUUCAAGGGAUAGUUUUCUUUGAAAGUUGCAACUUCUCUACGAACUUCUGAGUGCAAAUCAUGAUAGAAUUAAACCUGAUAGUAACGUAACUCAAUGAUUAGGUUCAUUGCUUUCAACAUUUGAUCACAAUCAGUCUUACUGGUAAUAUCUAUUGUUGAGAAACAUCUGAGCAACUUAGCCUAAUUGACAUGUAUCCUCAAAGUAUCUUUGCUUUCCCUCGUGGGUUUAGUACACCCAGGGAAAACUGCUCCAAAAGAAAGAAAAAUGUGCGUGCUGCACUCAAGAAUGACUGCUAGUGGUAUACUGGAGGAAGGUGGGGAUGACGUCAAAUCCACAUCCCUAUGUCAUUGAUUACGUUGAUGAUUCAAAUAAUGAUAUUAUAGAGAGAUCUUUUGAUGCGCGGGUGCAUCUUGGAGCAAUUUUUUUAUUUUUGUACGUGUAUGAAAAAAGCUAGUCAAUAUUCACAGUUUAAAGUGUCUAUAUGAGCCAAUGACAUAAAUUAACUUGGCCUAAUGCAUUAGGACUAAUAGUCACAGCAAUUAAAAGGAUUCUAACCCAAGUAACUUCAAAAGUUCACUUAAUUUGGAGGAGUUGAACGACCUUGUCUGGAUUUGAUGAUCACCAUUUUAUGUGAUGGCCAGCGAUAAUCAUGAAAUGAGACACAAUUGAAAUUAACAUUUGCUAAAUCAGCAAUUUAAUGCUUCUGAUUUCCAUGAACCGAAAUGAUUUAGAAGGAUUUUGUAACUAAACCAAAAUUUAUCAUGAACAAAGCUCAAUUUGUUUUUGUUGUUGUUGUUGUUGUGCAUUUGAUCAUACAAGUCCUUACUAUUUACCAGUACUUCUCUAUCUUCAACUUUUGUUGUUGUCCAUCCAAAUUCUAUCCUGCUUAUAGAUUGUUCAUCCAAACUCAGAAUCUCAAAGUUAGUCUCAAGAAUAUUACACUUGGGGCUACAUUUGCAACAAUAAUAUUUGAUCCAUUAUAGUCUUGUACAACCUCAAAAUUUUAUGUAUUUUGCUUUCCAAAAUCUCUUCUAUACUGUCAGAAGCAGUGGUUUUUAAUUAAAUAUAGAACUUGAUAUUUAUACCCUGUUUGAGCCCCAUUAUUUUCUCAUUAAAAUUAAGUGACUUAUAGUAUUUAUCAUGAACAAAGCUCAAUUUUUUUUUCCAGUUUAUUGAUAUUUAUACCCUAUUUGAGCCCCAUUAUUUUCUCAUUAAAAUGAAAAAUAUGAUCGUUAUCCAUCACAUCAAACCACCAUAUUUGACUUUUUAUUUCUUGUGUGGGAUCUAUAACGACUAUAUUUUUUAUUCUUAUUUUUACAAUAAUGUUGUUCAAACGGGGCUUAAUAUUGAGAAACACUCAUUUGCCUGAGGUUGCUUCAGAUUGCAUUAAUACAAGGAUAUGCUGUGACUUAUAGUAUUUUUAAUACGCUUUAACUUUUUGACUCGUAAAUUUUUCCAAAUCUCUCUUCCUUGAUCAUAUAUUAUCAUGUGUAAUUCAAUGUACCAGGUAUGUCUUGAAAAAAUUGAUCGAGUAAAAGAUUUUCUUCAAUAUAGUUAUGACCAUUCUUUGCUGCGCUUGAUGUCUCAAAAUCUAUGAUGAGGACGAUCAGCUAGCUAAUAAGAAUACUAAUUCAUAUCCGAUUAAAAUGUUGAAAAAUUCCUAUUUAUUUUCAUGUGCAAAAAGACACUGCAUGCAACUGAUAAUAAUUAUAUUUUUAAGAUCCUAUAUUGAUCUUCAUUAAUUAUUGAAAUUUCGUUGGUAUAUUAUUCAAUUUUUCAUAUUUUCCUCUUGUUCACAGUCAUGAAUUUGGACGUGCAGAACUUUGUGAACGAAGAGAAGAGUACUGGUCUUUAAUAUGACAGUGACUACAUUCAGAGUUUUGGAAGCUUAUGAACUGCGAAGAUCUGAUAUCAUAUCCCUUCAUUCUUCAUAUCUCAGCUGUCUGUAAAAUUAUACUAAGUAAACAACUCAUAAACAAAGUUUCAUUUCUGUCGUGUAUGCUCCAUUAAUUCGAACUCACAUAAUUAUACAUUUCAUCUACUCUCUUAACUCCG
Molecule: long non-coding RNA, 2817 nt
Filed under: Olea europaea subsp. europaea
Lineage: Eukaryota; Viridiplantae; Streptophyta; Magnoliopsida; Lamiales; Oleaceae
Source: RNAcentral